GAAGAGCUUCGGCUCUGAAUAUCUAUGGCUAGAUAAAGUACAAGUCGUAACAAGGUUUCAGUUGGAGAACCAGCUGAAGGAUCAUUU
This 87-nucleotide ribosomal RNA is filed under the name Enterocytozoon bieneusi. Its description in RNAcentral is "partial small subunit ribosomal RNA". It matches the Rfam family "Microsporidia small subunit ribosomal RNA", at positions 1225 to 1311 of the family's 1311-position model. The record is from RNAcentral. Lineage: Eukaryota; Fungi; Microsporidia; Enterocytozoonidae.